This is an RNA transcript of Spinacia oleracea (spinach), 4678 nucleotides long. It is a transcript of the gene named mediator of RNA polymerase II transcription subunit 33A, with no coding region annotated. The record is from RefSeq and is a predicted model, not a curated record. The transcript has 14 exons. NCBI's taxonomy places the organism in Eukaryota, Viridiplantae, Streptophyta, Magnoliopsida, Caryophyllales, Amaranthaceae.
AACAACGCCUAGUCGCGACCGAAUCCACCCAGCGCCUCCGGAGCUGACUUCCCAUUUUCUUCCCGUCAAAAACCACAGUCCCUCCCAAAACAAAACCAUUCCCCCACCCUCUCAAUUAAAACAACCAUCAAAAACAGCUCCUACUCAUUUUCUCUCUCCUCCCACCGGCAAACCUCGACGGAUCUUCUUCGAGAGUCCAACAAUGGCGGAAACUCAGCCAGCAAGCGGAGCAGCAUUCUGGGAAACUGUCUUAGAACUCACCAAGUCAGCUCAAGAGAAGAAUAUUGACCCUCUCGCCUGGGCGAUUCAACUAGGCGCCACCCUCAACUCUGCUGGGUUGACUCUUCCCUCUGUCGAACUCUCUCAUCUAUUGGUCUCUCAUAUUUGCUGGAAUAACAAUAAUCAAACUACUUGGAAGUUUCUUGAAAAGGCCCUGGUUCUUAAAUUUGUUCCUCCUAUGCUUGUUCUUGCUUUGCUCUCCACUAGGGUGAUUCCAAGUCGAAGUUUGCAUCCUGCUGCCUAUAGACUCUAUAUGGAACUUCUUAAAAGAUAUGGCUCUUCUUUUGCAUUUCAACUGCAUGCAUCAAACCAUGAGAAAAUCUUGAAAGCCGUAGAUGAUGCCCUACAUCUUUCAGAUCUUUUUGGGAUUCAACCUUUUGAUCCUGCUGUUCUUUCAGUGCUUUUUGUAUUUUCAAAUGUGUGGCAGUUGGUUGAUGCAUCUUUGGAUGAUGAAGCGUUGCUGGAAUACAGUACAGAUAAGAGUUCUAGAUGGCUGACAGAGAUACAAACUAUGGAUAUUGAUGAUAGUGGCCACUUUCCGGAAAACAGAACAGAAUUCCAAGAGGGAAUGUUUAAAACGAAUACCUUGAUGGCUAUUGAGAUGAUAGUGGAAUAUUUGCAAAGCAGGGUAACAUCACAGAUUCUUUUCUUGGUGCGUCAAAAUAUGCCCUCACAUUGGAGAGAUUUCUACCAACAUCUGCAACUGCUAGCUUCCAAAUCAUUGGCUUUAAGGAGUUCCAAGAUCACAACUCCAGAAAUCUUUGCGCAGAUGGCAUCUGAUACACGCAAACAUUUGCAUUGGCAAUGCAAGACAAACCUACAGCACCAGUUCCAUGCAGUAAUGGCCCCUGGAUGCUUUUUACCAUCUUCAGUUCAAUGUCAUGGUGCUAGUAAUUCUUCUCUGUGGCUCCCAAUUGAUUUGUUUCUAGAAGAUGCUAUGGAGGGGAUUAUAGUGACUCCGACAUGUGUCAUUGAUACACUUACUGGUAUGGUAAAAUCUCUCCAGGCACUUUACAGCACCACAUGGCAUGACACCUUCCUUGGCCUAUGGAUUGCAAUCCUACGACUUGUUCAAAGGGAGAAAAAUCCUUGUGAGGGUCCUGUAGCUCGUCUUGACACUUGCUUGUGCAUGUUAUUAUCCAUUACACCUCUUGUGCUUGUUAACCUUGUUGACGAGCAAAAUAUGGAGUCUGAGUUUAGUCAAAUGGAGGAUAAACAGGCUUCUAAAAGUCGUCUCCAUGAGUUGAUUUCCAGUUUGCAGCAGUUAGGUGAAUAUGAAGGCUUGUUGACUCCUCCUUCAUCUGUUGCUUCAAUCGCAAAUCAGGCUGCUAUCAAAGCUAUAAUGUAUCUUUCCGGUCUCAAUAUCACCAGUGGAUACCUCGAUUCUUUCAGUGUCAGUGAUGUACCAAUUAACUGUGCUGGGAAUAUGCGCCAUCUGAUAGUCGAGGCUUGCAUUGCUAGAAAUUUAUUGGACAUCUCAGCAUACGCUUGGCCCGGUUAUGUAAAUGCACGGGUCAACCAAAUUCCUCGUCUAUCUGGACAAGUUACUGGUUGGUCAUCGUUAAUGAAAGGUUCCCCUCUUACUUCUGCAUUGAUGAAUGCUCUGGUUUCCAGUCCUGCUUCAAGCUUAGCAGAGGUAGAGAAAAUAUAUGAGAUUGCAGUUGGCGGAUCAGAUGAGGAGAAGAUAUCUGCUGCCUCAGUUCUUUGUGGGUCAUCGCUGAUCCGUGGUUGGAAUGUGCAGGAGCACACUGUCCUUUUUCUUCUAAGGUUGCUGUCACCUCCCAUGCCAGCGGGGUAUUCUGAAAGUGAAAGUCAUUUGAUAAGUUAUGGACCAUUCUUGAAUGUUCUCCUUGUUGGAAUAGCAACAGUUGACAUUGUACAGAUAUUUUCACUCCAUGGUUUGGUUCCACAUCUUGCUGGAGAACUGAUGCCCAUUUGUGAGGUUUUUGGCUCUUGUUCGCCAAAGGUUUCAUGGACUCUUACAACAGGAGAGGAAAUAAAUUCUCAUGCAGUCUUCUCUAAUGCAUUUACCCUUCUUUUGAAAUUGUGGAGUUUUGAUCAUACUCCUAUUGAGCAAGCCAUGGGUGAUGUGCGAUCAGUUGCAUCCCAGCUAAGCCCAGAGUACCUCCUCUUAGUGAGGAAUUCUCAAUUAGCAUCAUUUGGCAAUGCAUCAACAGAUCAGAGUAAAGGCCGUAGAUUUUCAAAGCUGAUAACUCUGCCCUCCACUGAACCCAUAUUUAUGGAUUCUUUUCCCAAACUAAAAUGUUGGUAUAGACAGCACCAGGCUUGCAUUGCCUCUCCACUUUCUGGUCUUACACCAGGUACCCCUGUCCAUCAAAUUGUUGAGGCUCUCUUGACUAUGCUCUUCAAGAAAAUGAAUAGAGGCACAACUUCUGGAAGUACCAGUUCGUCUGGUUCAUCUAUGGAAGAGGCUGUACUUCGGCUGCAGCUACCUGCGUGGGAUAUCCUAGAAGCUCUUCCCUUUGUUCUAGAUGCGGCUUUAACAGCAUGUGCCCAUGAUAAGCUUUCUCCACGUGACCUAGCCACAGGGCUCAAGGAUCUUGCUGACUUUCUUCCAGCAUCUUUGGCAAGCAUAUUGAGCUACUUCACAGCCGAAGUAACAAGAGGAGUCUGGAAGCCAGUUUCUAUGAAUGGAACUGAUUGGCCAAGCCCUGCGGCUAAUUUAUCCAUGGUCGAACAACAGAUACGUAAAGUGUUGGCUACCACAGGCAUUGAUGUCCCCAGUCUGGCUACAGUGGGUAGCUCAAUUCCUACACUUCCUCUACCAUUAGCUGCACUGCUGAGCCUCACCAUAACUUACAAAAUUGAUAAAGCCAAUGAACGUUAUUUAAACUUGGUUGGGAGAGGAGUGGUCGUACUUGCAGCUUGCUGUCCUUGGCCCUGCAUGCCCAUCGUAGCAGCUCUUUGGGCUCAAAAGGCUAAGCGUUGGAGUGACUUCCUUAUCCAUUCUGCCUCACGCACUGUCUUUAACCUCAACAAUGAUGCUGUUGUGCAGCUUCUGAGGAGCUGUUUUUCCUCUGUCCUGGGGUUUAAUGCGUCCCCUAGAUGUAGAAAUGGAGGUGUUGGUGCUCUCCUUGGCAAUGGAUUUGGUUCCCGAUACUCCAAUGGGAUGUCCCCUGUUGCCCCUGGUAUCUUCUACCUACGUGUUUGUCCGUUCAUCAGAAACAUCACCUUUGUCACGGAAGAAAUUCUCUCUCUCCUGAUGGUGUCAGUGAAAGGUAUUGCGGUUGGUGGUUUAUCCAAUGACGCCAUAGAAAAGUUAAAGAAAAGUAAGUUUGGAAUGAGAUACAGACAAGUAUCUCUCACUUCUGCAAUGUCACGUGUCAAGCUUGCAGCUUCAGUUGGGGCAUCCUUUGUGUGGAUAUCUGGUGGGUUAAAUCUACUGCAAACUUUGCUUAAAGAAACGCUGCCCUCGUGGUUUAUAUCAACCCAGAGAACAGAUCACAUAUCAGAAUCAGGGGGUGUUGUUGCAACAUUAAGUGGUUAUGCAUUGGCUUACUUUGCUGUGCUUUGCGGCCUAUUUGCCUGGGGAAUCGAUGUAGAAUCAUCUGCCUCAAAAUGGAGAUCCAAGGUUCUUGCUUCCCACCUUGAAUUUAUGGCUACUGCUCUUGAAGGGAAGAUCUCCCUCGGAUGUGAUAUGGCCACGUGGAGGGCUUACGUUUCAGGUUUUUUGGGUUUGCUGGUAAGGUGCAUCCCUGCUUGGUUGCACGACAUUGACGUGCAUAUUUUGAAAAGCUUGAGUAGGGGUUUGAGGCAGUGGAAUGAAGAAGAAUUGGCUGUUGCUUUGGUGGGUGUUAGUGGCAUUAAUGCAAUGGGUGUUGCUGCUGAGUUGAUCAUUCAAAGUGCAUGAUAGGUUUCAUAUUGUUCUGUUUAGGACUAAUUUCUGGUCUCUAACAGCCUUGCAGUUUAGCGGCUUCAUCAGGCAGAAGUUUUAUCUUCGAGCUCGCUUUAUGAACAUGUCCGGUUUUCGACAACCCGAAGUCAGAGAUCUUAGCAACCCAGUUUUCAUCCAACAAUAUAUUAGUAGUCUUGACAUCGCGAUGAAUGAUUGUGUACUUUGAUCCAGUAUGAAGAUAAUGAAGACCUUUCGCAGCACCAAUCAACAUCUCUAAUCUUUGCUUCCAAGAUCAACAGAGAAAGCCCAUGUCAGAUUGAAAUUCAGGGUAAUGUUCGGGUCGGGUCCCAUAGACCUCCAUGUAUCAUAAACAUCAUAAGGUGCAAUAUAUUUAGGCAUACCUUGAUAAACCAGUCCUACAGUUUCAUUAUCUGCAGAGGUAACACCAGCAGCAGCCCCAAAGAUAUAGGGUGUGUCAUCAUACCAUGUCCUUAAUAAACCCGAAUCAUUUGUAGGAGGGAUAUAAUUUCCACCUACAUUCAA